AAAAAGACCGGAGAAUUUGUGCCCCUUUUACGUCAAGCGGUGGCCACAGUAUUUCUGAGGAGCAACUUCCUCCUCCUGCUCUUGAAGUUCGGAAAUUUAGGUGGUGGCGAUGCAAAAAUUGUAUGCGUGAGAUUGGCACAGAAAGUUCAGGAGAAGAGAUUGAGAUUCCUCCUCCAAGCUGCAGAAGUAGAUUGAUCUCUCCGAACAUGGUUUCUUCUGGAAAUGCUACAACAAAUGCAUUGUUAGAGAUGAAGCAUGAUUCAACUUCACGAAAGGUUGACAAAAAGAAAGCUAUU
RNAcentral lists this unclassified non-coding RNA (296 nucleotides) under Hevea brasiliensis (rubber tree). The record is from RNAcentral. Lineage: Eukaryota; Viridiplantae; Streptophyta; Magnoliopsida; Malpighiales; Euphorbiaceae.